This 666-nucleotide long non-coding RNA is filed under the name Brassica napus (rape). RNAcentral's name for it is "long non-coding RNA (BNAP_LNC010417)". The record is from RNAcentral. Lineage: Eukaryota; Viridiplantae; Streptophyta; Magnoliopsida; Brassicales; Brassicaceae.
UAAAUCAAGUUUUUGUUCCCAAACUAGCACUCAAGUUCAAAAGUCACAAAAAUAACACUUAAUGUUUUAUCAAAAGUAACAAACUUAGGGUUUAGAGUUAAAGGGUGGGGUUUAAGAUUUAGGUUUAGGGUUUAGGGUUUAGGGUUUAGGGUUUAGGGUUUAGGGUUUAGGGUUUAGAGUUUAGAGUUUAGGGUUUAGAGUUUAUGGUUUAGGGUUUAGGGUUUAGGGUUUAAGGUUUAGGGUUGAGAAAUGAGGUUUUGGGGAUAAGAUUUCAAAUUUUGAAAAAUAAAAAAAUUAAAAUUUUCAAAGGAUAAACUUAGAAAUGUGCUAUUUUGGUCAUUUUAGUUUUGGAGUGCUAUUUUUGUGAUAUAAACUUAGAAAGAUGCUAUUUUGAAGAUUUACCCUAAAAAAAACAUCGUAACUAUGCCUAGAUUUUCAAUAUAUUUGUAAAACACCUUUGGUAUAGUAGUUGAAUAUAAUGUAAAAUUCAACUUCUGUGUGUAAUCACAAUCAAUAAUUUGUUUAACUAAUUGUACCAUUAAAAUAAAGUUUUUUUUAUUGAAACAAAUAGGAAGAAAUUAAAACUCAAUCAUACAACUCUCCCUUAUAUAGUCAUGGGUUCAGAUUUUUUAUUUUUUUGGCUAAAAAGUUAUGGGCUCAGAUAAA